UUUCUGGCACAAGGGUACGAACCCAUUUUGCAAGGCCUAAUUGGAAGAAGGUUCUCUCUAAAUUAUGUUCCAAGCACUGUAAUGCAAGGAUUGGAGUUUUUUACUGUGGUGCACCUGUCUUGGCUAAAGAACUCAGCAAACUCUGCUUUGAGUUCAAUCAAAAAGGUUCCACCAAGUUUGAGUUCCACAAAGAACAUUUCUAAAUAGUAAUGAGACGAUUGUGGUGUACAUAUAUAACUAUCGUUCACAGCCCCUUCUCUCCUUAACACCUAAACACCUCCCUGCACAAAAAGAAUUUCUGAAGCAUUGUACAGUCUUGGGUGGAAAAGGGUAGAAAAGGGAAGGAAAAAUUAGAUACAGAUAUACAUAAAUAUGUAUUCGGUAGUGUAAGUGUACAGUAAACCAAGCACAGCCUGAAAAAUUAUUGUGGCUGAUGAGAUGGCCAGGAGUUUCAAUGAUAACUCAUUGCUAGUUUAGUGGGUAGUGGCUAAAGCGAUUGCAGUGAAGCAGAGUGCGUUACAGCUACAAUCGAGAGAUUGACAUAAUUGACAAGGAGAUGGCCAUGCAUGAUUGGUAGACAUCCAUAGGUGGAUAGAAGAAAGUUUUGAAAGUGAGAGACUUUGAGGUAGGUCUCUGUACUCUGGAGAUGGGGACUAAUUAGAUGGCUAUGUCCUUCGAUUUUUACAUAUUUUUUUUUUUUAAUUGAAGUGGGGUUAGAGAAUCCUUCUGGAAUGUCAAUGCUGGCGCCAAUCAAAUCCACUCGCAAUUAUCUUUAGUUACUUGACUAGAAUAAGCAAAUCAUGUAAAUGAUAUACUUUUGUCUUAUACUUUUUUUUUUUUUUUUACCAAUGGUAUCCCUAAAUAUUCCAUUCAAAAACUAAUAAUAUUUCUCUCUCGAACAUCUUCCUGACCAAGAUUGGGGGAAAAAAA
Molecule: unclassified non-coding RNA, 930 nt
Filed under: Hevea brasiliensis (rubber tree)
Lineage: Eukaryota; Viridiplantae; Streptophyta; Magnoliopsida; Malpighiales; Euphorbiaceae
Source: RNAcentral